UAUGGAACACCUAUCCUAACAGGAACAUGUCACAGGUUUAGGCCUAGGUUACAUAUGGAACACCUAUCCUAACAGGAACAUGUCACAGGUUUAGGCCUAGGUUACAUAUGGAACACCUAUCCUAACAGGAACAUGUCACAGGUUUAGGCCUAGGUUACAUAUGGAACACCUAUCCUAACAGGAACAUGUCACAGGUUUAGGCCUAGGUUACAUAUGGAACACCUAUCCUAACAGGAACAUGUCACAGGUUUAGGCCUAGGUUACAUAUGGAACACCUAUCCUAACAGGAACAUGUCACAGGUUUAGGCCUAGGUUACAUAUGGAACACCUAUCCUAACAGGAACAUGUCACAGGUUUAGGCCUAGGUUACAUAUGGAACACCUAUCCUAACAGGAACAUGUCACAGGUUUAGGCCUAGGUUACAUAUGGAACACCUAUCCUAACAGGAA
Long non-coding RNA from Oncorhynchus keta (chum salmon), 449 nucleotides. RefSeq lists it as uncharacterized. The record is from RefSeq and is a predicted model, not a curated record. NCBI's taxonomy places the organism in Eukaryota, Metazoa, Chordata, Actinopteri, Salmoniformes, Salmonidae. The transcript has 3 exons.